AGAGACUUCUUGAGAUUAAUACACUCGACUGGGAUGAGCUUUUGGCACCCAACGAUCCUAACAAGCUAAUGGCAACUCAAGAAGUGGGAGGAAGAGCUUCAGUUGGGCAACAGAGUCAAUGUGAAGUUAAUGGUUACAGCCUUAAUGAUGGCUCUUCAUCCAUGGCGAGAGCACCUAUAGCAUCCUUAGAAAGUUUUGUUGGCCAAGUGGCUGGCAGCGAUGCUGUGAAUUUUAAUCCUUUAAAUGACAUGUCCUUCCGUUCGGGGGAUGGUCAGAUGACUUCAAACUUUCAGAAGAAAGAAUCUGGAGUUAUGACAGUGGGUGCAGGUGAUUCUUUUGAUAGUCUUAACAAGGAUGGUCUCCAAACUCAAGACAGUUUUGGACGGUGGAUCAACUACUUCAUCAGUGAUUCUUCGGGAUCUGCAGAUGAGCUGAUGACUCCUGAAUCUUCAGUAACUAUUGAUCAAUCCUAUGUAAUGCAGCAGACAUUCAACAUAACAGAAAUAUCUCCUUCUUGGGCUCUUUCAACUGAAGAAACAAAGAUCUUAGUGGUUGGGCAUUUCCCAGGAAGACAAUCACCACUGGCAAAGUCAAAUUUGUUCUGUGUAUGUGCAGAUGUUUGUUUUACUGCAGAAUUUGUGCAGUCUGGGGUAUAUCGUUGUGUAAUUUCACCUCAAGCCCCUGGACUGGUAAAUCUAUAUUUGAGUUUGGACGGUAACACACCGAUUAGUCAAGUCAUGACCUUUGAGUUUCGAGCUCCUUCAGCACAUAAGUGGACAGAUCCUCUGGAGGACCAGUCUAAUUGGGAUGAAUUUAGAGUUCAAAUGAGACUAGCUCAUUUGCUCUUCUCUACAUCUAAGAGCCUAAGCAUUUUUUCCAGUAAAGUACACCAAAAUUCUCUGAAAGAUGCAAAGAAAUUUGUUCGAAAGUGUGCGUACAUUACUAAUAAUUGGGCAUAUUUGAUCAAAUCAAUUGAAGGUAGGAAAGUCCCUUCCAUGCAUGCAAAAGACUGCUUAUUUGAGCUGUCUUUGCAAACUAAAUUUCAUGAAUGGCUAUUGGAAAGAGUUAUUGAAGGGUGUAAGACCUCAGAGCGGGAUGAGCAAGGUCAAGGAGUUAUCCAUUUGUGUGCUAUCCUAGGUUAUACUUGGGCUAUAUAUCCAUUUACCUGGUCAGGCUUAUCAGUGGAUUACCGGGACAAGCAUGGUUGGACAGCUCUUCAUUGGGCUGCGCACUAUGGAAGGGAGAAAAUGGUUGCGACCCUUCUAUCUGCUGGUGCAAACCCCAAUUUGGUCACAGACCCCAAUUCAGAGAACCCUGAUGGAUACACUGCUGCUGAUCUUGCAUCUAAAAAUGGUUUCGACGGUUUGGGGGCGUAUCUUGCGGAGAAGGCUUUAGUUGCACACUUUGAGGCUAUGACCUUGGCUGGAAAUGUUAGUGGUUCACUGCAGACCACUACUGAACCUAUAAACCCUGAAAACUUCACAGAGGAGGAGCUGUAUCUAAAAGAUACUUUGGCAGCUUAUCGUACUGCUGCUGAUGCUGCUGCACGUAUACAGGCUGCAUUCAGAGAACAGUCAUUCAAACUACAGACCAAAGCUGUUGAGUCUGUAAAUCAAGAGACAGAAGCACGUAAUAUAAUUGCUGCUAUGAAGAUUCAGCAUGCUUUCCGCAAUUAUGAGUCGCGUAAAAAAUUGGCUGCUGCUGCACGAAUCCAAUAUAGGUUCCGAACUUGGAAAAUGCGGAAAGAUUUUCUUGCCAUGCGACGUCAUGCGAUUAAAAUUCAAGCCGUAUUCCGUGGUUACAAAGAACGGAAGCAGUAUCGCAAGAUAGUUUGGUCUGUUGGGGUGCUUGAAAAGGCAGUCUUGCGAUGGCGUUUGAAGAGGAAAGGCUUUCGUGGUCUUCAGGUUCAAUCUAGUGAAUCAGUGGAUAUCAAACCUGAUGGUGAGGUGGAAGACUUCUUUCGAGCCAGUAGGAAACAAGCUGAAGAGCGUGUUGAAAGGUCUGUUGUACGAGUUCAGGCCAUGUUUCGUUCAAAGCGAGCACAAGAAGAAUAUAGUAGGAUGAAGAUGGCACACAAUAAUGCUUCGCUGGAAUACAAAAGGCUUAUCAAUCCUGAUAACUAGAUGGGUUAAGAAGAUGAGGAACAAGUACUUCCCUGAAAUAUUUGGAGCUACAGCAGUAACCCAGGCCAACAACCACCCUCCAAAAAGCAUUGUGAUAUUGCCCCUGUCCCCUCCCACAGACGUGAUCCUAUAGAACGAAAGAGUUGCCUGGUUGAAGCUACUGAAAAAAAUAGGUUAUGUGUGCUUAUUGUGCAAAUCAGUUUGUACAUUGGUAGAGAUGUUGUAAAUUGGUAGAUUGUGUUAUCAUCGCAGCUUCGACCCUCCAAAUGUUUUAGAAAAGUGUGGGUUGGCACUCACAGUUUGACAUGUUGUACCUGUUGUGGGAGGUUAAGUGUGGUCUCCGCGAGUGUCUUGCCUGACUAAGAUGUCAAAUAUUUGCAGUACUGAUUUCAUGAUAUGUAAUGAUUAUAUGCUUU
RNAcentral lists this unclassified non-coding RNA (2539 nucleotides) under Hevea brasiliensis (rubber tree). The record is from RNAcentral. Lineage: Eukaryota; Viridiplantae; Streptophyta; Magnoliopsida; Malpighiales; Euphorbiaceae.